Oryctolagus cuniculus (rabbit) is the source of this 2618-nucleotide non-coding RNA. The record is from RefSeq and is a predicted model, not a curated record. NCBI's taxonomy places the organism in Eukaryota, Metazoa, Chordata, Mammalia, Lagomorpha, Leporidae.
ACGUGACAACCCCAGACUGCCCCAAUUGCUCCGGCUAGCCCACGUGACCCUCUGUCCGCUGGGGCGGGGCCGAGUGCGGAGACGCGGCCGUGCGUGUGCGCCUGCGCGGAGACACUGCCGCGACUUUCGCCGGCUGCUGGGAGUUCAGUUUGGUUCUUUGUGGCUUAAACAUCCUCUGCUGUUACAUUGAAGGCAGAUUUGCUAAUGUCUUGACGCAGUCUGUAACUUUGUUCAAAGUCCUAGGAACUUUCUCUGCACUCUUUAGAAAACCGUGUACUAAGGAAAGCCAUAAGCCCGUUUAGGUGUGCCCAUGGCCAUUGUCUUUUUCUAGAAUACCCUGACUUGGAAGGUAAAUGCAAGGCUUAAGGAGCUGCUCAAGUAAUAGUUAAAUAAUUAAAAUGAGAUUCUGGAAACCUUCCAUUUAACCCAAGUAUGUUGUAAUGGAAUUUUACCUGGGGAUUUUGCCAGAAAGGGGACUGACUGUAUUUCCCAGUCUUCUUGUAUCUCCCUGGUCAGUAUCCAGGUGCUGGCCAAUGGGACAAAAGUGGAAGUUUUAUUCAGCACAUAAGAAACCUUUAUUUAAGGAAGACCCCAACUAUGAUUCCUGCCGCUGGAAGCCUAGAACUGCUUUCCUCUGUGCUGUCGUGCCUCUGACACAUAGGUGAUUCUUUGUUGACAGCGGUGUAUGAAAUGGAGCGCUAAGCCACGGCGUUGAAUUGCCUUUCAUUGUGUUUUCUCCAGGUUGAUCUGUGCUGCAAUUAAAAAAUUGUUCAUUUUUCUGCUGUCAUUCUGUGUUUCGUUACAGGGGUCUGUUUCGACUGUGAAUUGAUGAAGGGAAAUUAGAUUUCUUUCCCGAUAAAAGAAAGCAGAGUAGGUCUAAGACACAUUUUCUUCAAAUUGUGAUGAUCUAAUGGCCCUCUUUCAUCCCAAGGAUCUUUCUGGCUAGAGAAAGAACAAAGAAGUCUUUCCUCUGGGCUGUGCAAAAAAAAAAAAAAAAAAAUCUGCUGUUCUUUGACUUUUUUACUAGAUGCCACACCCCCUACAGUUACUUCUAUAGACCCUUGACUAAGUAAGAUUAAGAAAAUAUUAGAACUUUCGGUUCCAGAGGGUUACUCUGCAAAUUACCAUUCCUCUUCCUCAUCAUUAUUCGGUUUGAGAACACUACCACCUCCCCCACAAAAUGUCUCUUAUGCCUGUUUGUUUGGUUUUUUUAAAAAAAAAAAUGCUUAUUUAUGGCCGGCGCUGCUAAUCCUCCACCUGCAGCGCCGGCACCCCAGGUUCUAGUCCCGGUCGGGGCGCCAGAUUCUGUCCUGGUUGCUCCUCUUCCAGUCCAGCUCUCUGCUGUGGCCUGGGAAGGCAGUGGAGGAUGGCCCAAGUGCUUGGGCCCUGCACCUGCAUGGGAUACCAGGAGAAGCACCUGGCUCCUGGCUUUGGAUUGGCGCAGAGCAAUGGCUUCAACGCACGGGCCGUGGCAGCCAUUUGGGGGGUGAACCAACGGAAGGAGGACCUUUUUCUCUCUCUCUCUCUCACUGUCUAACUCUGCCUAUCAAAUAUAUAUAUAUAUUUUAAAGUCAGAGUUACACAGAGAGAGGAGAGGUAGAGAGAGAGAGAGAGAGUCUUCCAUCCACUGGCUCACUCCCCAGAUGGCCGCAACUGAUCAGCUGUCUGAUCCGAAGCCAGGCGCCAAAAGCUUCUUCUGGGUCUCCGAUGUGGGUGCAGGGGCCCAAGGACUUGGCCCAUCUUCUACUGCUUUCCCAGGCCAUAGCAGAGAGCUGGAUUGGAAGUGGAGCAGCCAGGACUCAAACCAACGCCUAUAUGGGAUGCCAGCACUGCAGGCGGCAGCUUUACCCACUGUUGCACAGCACCGGCCCCCCUUAUGCCUGUUUGUAAUAAAGCACAUCAGUAACUUUUCAAAACAGAGGCACACCCUACCCUGUACAGACCAACAAUAUCAAAUUUUUCUAUCAGGGUAGAAAAACAUUGCUAUUUUGUUUUAUAAAACAUCCCAGAUAAUUAAUUUCAUAUGAAAAACUUUUGCUUUCUCCUAAAAUUCUGAGGAAUCCAUACUUUAACCACCUUCAGACUGAUAAUUAUAGCCUCAGUAGUUAAAAUUUCUAACAAAUGUUCUAGGGACCAAGGAAAGAUACCAACUCAGCAUUCAAGGUUCCUAUCAUCCUUUAAUAAAAAGGAGUUGUCUGUAACUUUCCUUGUUUAUUUUCUCUGUUCAAACCUGCCUUUCAGGUUAACCUAUGACUUCAAGUUGACUAAUUUAUUUUCAUGAGAGGUGUUGCAAUACAUAUGUGAUUAAUUAUUUUACAUUGCAAUCUGCAUAAAAUUAUUCCUGUACAUAAACUGUUGAGAAAUGGCUUAAAGUCUAAGUGAAAUUAAUUAUUAUCUUGUAACCACAUGGGAAAUAUCUAAAUGUUACAUUGUCAUUGGUUCUAUUUCAUUGAAAGAAAUUUCAAAUGACUAAUUGACAAAGACUUGAGAGGUAUUGAGCUUGAUCGUGUCUUAUCUGUAUAAACCUAGACAGACUCAACUGUAUAUAAAACAGUUUCUUAGAAAGCAGUUGGAUAAUUAUUCAUUUUAUUCUUGUAACUAAAUUUAAUGAAGUCUUU